RNAcentral lists this long non-coding RNA (781 nucleotides) under Serinus canaria (Common canary). RNAcentral's name for it is "lncRNA (ENSSCAG00000007760.1)". Lineage: Eukaryota; Metazoa; Chordata; Aves; Passeriformes; Fringillidae. The record is from RNAcentral.
UGCCCCUCUGUACCCCAUCCCUGGUGUCACCGCGCGCUGACCCCGCCGUGUCCCCUCCCAGACCAGCCUCCUGUCACCGUCACGGUGACAGCGGCCAUCGGCGAGGACGCCUGCCUGCCCUGCGGCACGCAGCCCUGGGGUGACCUGCGCGGGGUCACCCUCAGCUGCACCCACCAGGCCGGCGGCCACCACGCCGUCCCCGUCCUCAGCCACCGCCUGGGCUGGCAGCCGCCACCCCCCGAGCCGGGCUGGCACCCGCCCGUGCAGCCCGACAGCCGCUUCAGGGGCAGGGUGGCCUUCUGCGCCGCGGGGACAGGGGACAGCGGCGUGGCCCUGCUGCUGAGGAACCUCAGCGAUCCCGAUUUCGGGAAUUAUUCCUGCUACGCCGCCCGCGCCGCCGCCCCGGAGCUCCUCUGCUCCCUGGUGCUGCAGCCCGCGGUGGCAGAGGUCCCCAAGGCCGCGGAGCCGGACAUGCUCAUGGUGAUUUGUGUCCUCACGGCCGCCUUCACCGCGGUGGCCAUCGGGGUGCUGGUGUGUGCCCGCUGCCAGGGCCACUGCUGGGGGCGUGCANCGCGGGGCCCAGCCCAGGAGCCCGCAGCCGUGGCUGCAGAGGAAGAAGGAGAGGUGGCCUUGGGUGACCUCAAGAGUGCCAGCACCUGAGGCCAUCCCCAGCUGGACAGGUCCUCGUGUGACACCAGGGCAGGACACGGCCCUGACUGCCCCAAUGGGGGGGACAGGUCUGGGGUCAUGUUCUGGGUGGGGGUUCAGGACGGGUUUGGGG